ACUCCUACGGGAGGCAGCAGUGGGGAAUAUUGGACACUGGGCGCAAGCCUGAUCCAGCCAUGCCGCGUGAGUGAUGAAGGCCCUAGGGUUGUAAAGCUCUUUCACCGGAGAAGAUAAUGACGGUAUCCGGAGAAGAAGCCCCGGCUAACUUCGUGCCAGCAGCCGCGGUAAUACGAAGGGGGCUAGCGUUGUUCGGAAUUACUGGGCGUAAAGCGCACGUAGGCGGAUCGAUCAGUCAGGGGUGAAAUCCCAGGGCUCAACCCUGGAACUGCCUUUGAUACUGUCGAUCUGGAGUAUGGAAGAGGUGAGUGGAAUUCCGAGUGUAGAGGUGAAAUUCGUAGAUAUUCGGAGGAACACCAGUGGCGAAGGCGGCUCACUGGUCCAUUACUGACGCUGAGGUGCGAAAGCGUGGGGAGCAAACAGGAUUAGAAACCCUUGUAGUCCCAUG
RNAcentral lists this ribosomal RNA (448 nucleotides) under uncultured organism. Its description in RNAcentral is "partial 16S ribosomal RNA". It matches the Rfam family "Bacterial small subunit ribosomal RNA", at positions 335 to 799 of the family's 1533-position model. The record is from RNAcentral.